Molecule: non-coding RNA, 758 nt
Organism: Onthophagus taurus
Lineage: Eukaryota; Metazoa; Arthropoda; Insecta; Coleoptera; Scarabaeidae
Source: RefSeq, a predicted model, not a curated record
AAACAAUAACCCUGAUCUAACAUGUCUCAACGACCAAACCCAAACUGCAUACAAACCACUAUAUUCUUUCCUAAAACAACCCUACACCCCACCCCGUAAACCCCCAGAUAGACGAGGAUUUCAGAAUACGAUGUCGAUCUGAAUUCGCACUACUCUGGGUCCCUUGGACAUCAACCCCCCCCUUCCAUAAACUAUCCUGUUAUCCCAUCAACCCCUUUAACCCCCAUCCCUAUCAAUUUAUAGACUCUAUAUUACAACCAACCCAACAUAUCCCCCCAGGUUAAACGAGGAUAACAAAACAAGAUGUCAUUUUGUUAUUGCAAUAACUCUGGAUCCCAUGGACAUCAUACCUAUCCCUUAUUAUCCUACCCAUAACCUUUAAAAAACCCCCCUCUUCCUGCCUAUUUUUUAAAAAAAAGUGGUUUUAAUAAUUAUUGCUGUAUGUGUUACAAUAAUUCGUUACUAUCCUCAAAUUAAAUUUUGAUUUCAAAUAUAUUGCCAAACGGGAAAAAUAAAAUAUCCCCAAACAAAUUGACACAUAACCUCAAACUAACUUUCACAACUCCAUGACGCUUCAAUUAUCUAAAAAAUUUUUUAAUCUUUCAUAAUCACAACUUAAAGGAAUCAUUUACAUGAUCUAACGGUAGGAACAAGUGAGGAAUUGCCAAAUGAAUGAAUCUAAUGUAUAUUUUGUAAGGAAUUGACGAUAACUCCUGAAGAUGCUGUAUAAACACAGUGAAACCGGUUGAGUGAAAAUU